This 462-nucleotide ribosomal RNA is filed under the name uncultured bacterium. Its description in RNAcentral is "partial 16S ribosomal RNA". It matches the Rfam family "Bacterial small subunit ribosomal RNA", at positions 28 to 507 of the family's 1533-position model. The record is from RNAcentral.
GACGAACGCUGGCGGCGUGCUUAACACAUGCAAGUCGAACGGAAAGGCCCUUCGGGGUACUCGAGUGGCGAACGGGUGAGUAACACGUGGGUGAUCUGCCCUGCACUUUGGGAUAAGCCUGGGAAACUGGGUCUAAUACCGAAUAGGACCACGCGCUUCAUGGUGUGUGGUGGAAAGCUUUUGCGGUGUGGGGUGGGCCCGCGGCCUAUCAGCUUGUUGGUGGGGUAAUGGCCUACCAAGGCGACGACGGGUAGCCGGCCUGAGAGGGUGACCGGCCACACUGGGACUGAGAUACGGCCCAGACUCCUACGGGAGGCAGCAGUGGGGAAUAUUGCACAAUGGGCGCAAGCCUGAUGCAGCGACGCCGCGUGAGGGAUGACGGCCUUCGGGUUGUAAACCUCUUUCACCAGGGAUGAAGCGUAAGUGACGGUACCUGGAGAAGAAGCACCGGCCAACUACGUG